GUCUAUGGCCAUACCAUCCUGAAAGUACCUAAUCUCUUCUGAUCUCAGAAGCUAAGUAGGGUUGGACCUGCUUAAUACUUGAGUAGGAGAAAAAAGGAAACAGAGUUG
RNAcentral lists this ribosomal RNA (108 nucleotides) under Canis lupus familiaris (dog). RNAcentral also lists the same sequence under 1 other name. Lineage: Eukaryota; Metazoa; Chordata; Mammalia; Carnivora; Canidae. The record is from RNAcentral.